This 68-nucleotide transfer RNA is filed under the name Zebrasoma scopas (twotone tang). Its description in RNAcentral is "tRNA-Cys". Lineage: Eukaryota; Metazoa; Chordata; Actinopteri; Acanthuriformes; Acanthuridae. The record is from RNAcentral.
AGCCCUGAGGUGUUCUACAUGUUAGAUUGCAAAUCUAAAGUAGUAGGAUAAUGAUCCUACCUGGGCUU